This 433-nucleotide ribosomal RNA is filed under the name uncultured bacterium. RNAcentral's name for it is "partial 16S ribosomal RNA". It matches the Rfam family "Bacterial small subunit ribosomal RNA", at positions 29 to 507 of the family's 1533-position model. The record is from RNAcentral.
AACGAACGCUGGCGGCAGGCUUAACACAUGCAAGUCGAACGCACCUUUCGGGGUGAGUGGCAGACGGGUGAGUAACGCGUGGGAAUCUACCCUUCUCUACGGGAUAGCUCCGGGAAACUGGAAUUAAUACCGUAUACGUCCUGAGGGAGAAAGAUUUAUCGGGGAAGGAUGAGCCCGCGUUGGAUUAGCUAGUUGGUGGGGUAAAGGCCUACCAAGGCGACGAUCCAUAGCUGGUCUAAGAGGAUGAUCAGCCACAUUGGGACUGAGACACGGCCCAAACUCCUACGGGAGGCAGCAGUGGGGAAUAUUGGACAAUGGGGGCAAGCCUGAUCCAGCCAUGCCGCGUGAGUGAUGAAGGCCCUAGGGUUGUAAAGCUCUUUCAGUGGGGACGAUAAUGACGGUACCCACAGAAGAAGCCCCGGCUAACUUCGUG